CCAAAGGCUCUUUUCAGAGCCACCCACACUUUCAACUAAAAAAGG
Mus musculus (house mouse) is the source of this 45-nucleotide non-coding RNA. The record is from Rfam. Lineage: Eukaryota; Metazoa; Chordata; Mammalia; Rodentia; Muridae.